UGGGGAAUAUUGCACAAUGGGCGCAAGCCUGAUGCAGCCAUGCCGCGUGUAUGAAGAAGGCAUUCGGGUUGUAAAGUACUUUCAGCGGGGAGGAAGGCGAUAAGGUUAAUAACCUUGUCGAUUGACGUUACCCGCAGAAGAAGCACCGGCUAACUCCGUGCCAGCAGCCGCGGUAAUACGGAGGGUGCAAGCGUUAAUCGGAAUUACUGGGCGUAAAGCGCACGCAGGCGGUCUGUCAAGUCGGAUGUGAAAUCCCCGGGCUCAACCUGGGAACUGCAUUCGAAACUGGCAGGCUAGAGUCUUGUAGAGGGGGGUAGAAUUCCAGGUGUAGCGGUGAAAUGCGUAGAGAUCUGGAGGAAUACCGGUGGCGAAGGCGGCCCCCUGGACAAAGACUGACGCUCAGGUGCGAAAGCGUGGGGAGCAAACA
RNAcentral lists this ribosomal RNA (427 nucleotides) under uncultured bacterium. RNAcentral describes it as "partial 16S ribosomal RNA". It matches the Rfam family "Bacterial small subunit ribosomal RNA", at positions 355 to 774 of the family's 1533-position model. The record is from RNAcentral.